UCGAGCGGACAGAAGGGAGCUUGCUCCCGGAUGUUAGCGGCGGACGGGUGAGUAACACGUGGGUAACCUGCCUGUAAGACUGGGAUAACUCCGGGAAACCGGAGCUAAUACCGGAUAGUUCCUUGAACCGCAUGGUUCAAGGAUGAAAGACGGUUUCGGCUGUCACUUACAGAUGGACCCGCGGCGCAUUAGCUAGUUGGUGAGGUAACGGCUCACCAAGGCGACGAUGCGUAGCCGACCUGAGAGGGUGAUCGGCCACACUGGGACUGAGACACGGCCCAGACUCCUACGGGAGGCAGCAGUAGGGAAUCUUCCGCAAUGGACGAAAGUCUGACGGAGCAACGCCGCGUGAGUGAUGAAGGUUUUCGGAUCGUAAAGCUCUGUUGUUAGGGAAGAACAAGUGCAAGAGUAACUGCUUGCACCUUGACGGUACCUAACCAGAAAGCCACGGCUAACUACGUGCCAGCAGCCGCGGUAAUACGUAGGUGGCAAGCGUUGUCCGGAAUUAUUGGGCGUAAAGGGCUCGCAGGCGGUUUCUUAAGUCUGAUGUGAAAGCCCCCGGCUCAACCGGGGAGGGUCAUUGGAAACUGGGAAACUUGAGUGCAGAAGAGGAGAGUGGAAUUCCACGUGUAGCGGUGAAAUGCGUAGAGAUGUGGAGGAACACCAGUGGCGAANGCGACUCUCUGGUCUGUAACUGACGCUGANGAGCGAAAGCGUGGGGAGCGAACAGGAUUAGAUACCCUGGUAGUCCACGCCGUAAACGAUGAGUGCUAAGUGUUAGGGGGUUUCCGCCCCUUANUGCUGCAGCUAACGCAUU
Molecule: ribosomal RNA, 817 nt
Filed under: Bacillus stratosphericus
Lineage: Bacteria; Bacillati; Bacillota; Bacilli; Caryophanales; Bacillaceae
Description: bacterial SSU rRNA
Rfam family: Bacterial small subunit ribosomal RNA
Source: RNAcentral